UAUGACACUCAAUGCGAGAUGGG
RNAcentral lists this microRNA (23 nucleotides) under Pristionchus pacificus. Its description in RNAcentral is "ppc-miR-63c". Its record names the gene ppc-miR-63c. The record is from miRBase by way of RNAcentral. Lineage: Eukaryota; Metazoa; Nematoda; Chromadorea; Rhabditida; Neodiplogasteridae.